Molecule: ribosomal RNA, 945 nt
Filed under: Triticum aestivum (bread wheat)
Lineage: Eukaryota; Viridiplantae; Streptophyta; Magnoliopsida; Poales; Poaceae
Description: partial small subunit ribosomal RNA
Source: RNAcentral
AUGACUGGUGGGCUCUCUGCGCCUGUCUAUUGGCGGGGUGAGACUUCCCCGCGUGCGCGUCGUGGGUUCCUGGCUCGUCUGCAGUUGAUGGAAAGGAUGAAUCGUCGCAUGCACACCCGCCGCGCUUUGGGCCAGGCCGCACUUCCCGCGCCGCGCGCGACGUGCCUGACUCCUUUCGCCCAGACGCCCAGCCCCACAGCCGCCGCAGCACUCCGCCCCCAUCCUCCUGUCCUCCACCAUGAGCGCCUCCUCCUCCGCCUCCCCGCCGCGGCCUCUUCCUUCCUUGGCCGGCAGCCACUGCAUCUCCUCACCGUGGGGAGUGACAGUAGCGGCAGGGAGCCUCCCAUCCCCUCGAGCCGCCGGUGCCGGAUCCCGCUUCCGCCGCCCCCUUCGCGCAGUACUCCGCGCCCGCCGGCCAACUACAUGUGCAUCACCCUGAUCUGGAACAUUGUGGAGCAACGAGUGACAAAAGUAUUAGAUGAGAUCUGGAAGAAUGCAGCUAACUCUUGGUUGACUGGACUUAUGAGGCGCAAGAGAGAGCUACAUGGAGGUUUCACUGAGGGAGAUGGGGUUGAUGGAGAAGAAGAGGAAACAGAGGCGGGUGUUCUUGCGGCGCUCGGCUGGUUCCAAGACCGUGAGGGGAAGGACUUCAUGCCUCUGGAGGUGAAAGAGCAGAGGAUUCGGGAGAAGAAGCAACCAGAGGAGCCGGAGAACACGGCCCCUGUCCUGUAUAUCUGCCACAUCCCCCAUGCUUCUAUGAGUACCAGAUGCAAGAACCUACUGGACAGAACAAAGUCGAGGGAAGAAGUAUGCGAGUCAAGUAUCCGUGAUGACCAACUGAUGAAAAUCACAUUUGAGUGGCCCAGUCGUUUGAUCUGCUCCAACACUACCGUUCCGGCUUUCAGAUUGAGUAACCUGUACCCACGUCUACUGCAAACCUACUAG